UACGGCGCUUGAAGAUGGGCGUGCGACUGAUUAGGUAGUUGGCGGGGUAACGGCCCACCAAGCCUGCGAUCAGUAACUGGUGUGAGAGCACGACCAGUCACACGGGCACUGAGACACGGGCCCGACUCCUACGGGAGGCAGCAGUAAGGAAUAUUGGUCAAUGGACGCAAGUCUGAACCAGCCAUGCCGCGUGGAGGAUGAAGGUCCUCUGGAUUGUAAACUUCUUUUAUUUGGGAAGAAACCCACGGUUUCUACUGUGGUUGACGGUACCAGAUGAAUAAGCACCGGCUAACUCCGUGCCAGCAGCCGCGGUAAUACGGAGGGUGCAAGCGUUAUCCGGAUUCACUGGGUUUAAAGGGUGCGUAGGCGGGCAGGUAAGUCAGUGGUGAAAUCUCCGAGCUUAACUUGGAAACUGCCAUUGAUACUAUCUGUCUUGAAUACUGUGGAGGUAAGCGGAAUAUGUCAUGUAGCGGUGAAAUGCUUAGAUAUGACAUAGAACACCUAUUGCGAAGGCAGCUUGCUACACAGAAAUUGACGCUGAGGCACGAAAGCGUGGGGAUCAAACAGGAUUAGAUACCCUGGUAGUCCACGCCCUAAACGAUGGAUACUCGACAUCAGCGAUACACUGUUGGUGUCUGAGCGAAAGCAUUAAGUAUCCCACCUGGGAAGUACGACCGCAAGGU
Molecule: ribosomal RNA, 683 nt
Filed under: bacterium RS32G
Lineage: Bacteria
Description: bacterial SSU rRNA
Rfam family: Bacterial small subunit ribosomal RNA
Source: RNAcentral